UAUACCAUCAAUGUGCCUUGGAACCAGGUGGGGAUGCGGGAUGCUGACUACAUUGCUGCUUUCCUGCACGUCCUGCUGCCAGUCGCCCUCGAGUUCCAGCCUCAGCUGGUCCUGGUGGCUGCUGGAUUUGAUGCCCUGCAAGGGGACCCCAAGGUAAGGCAGGCUCCUUGGGGCGGCAGGUGGGUUGCAUGGAGCCAGGCUGACCCUCCAUGUCCCCCCAGGGUGAGAUGGCCGCCACUCCGGCAGGGUUCGCCCAACUAACCCACCUGCUCAUGGGUCUGGCAGGAGGCAAGCUGAUCCUGUCUCUGGAGGUGAGUGACUCACCUUCGUCCCUCAGCCUGUGGAUCCUGGAGGGCUUAAGAACGAAGCUUUCAAGUCCAACAGGAGUUCCUGGCCCAGGAAUUCACUUACUAGCUGGACAACCUUGCAUAAGUCACUUCACUUCUUUGUGCCUCCGCUUUCCUUCUAUAAAACGAGCAUAAUGUAAUCACCUCAUAUCAUUGUCCAGUGAAUUCAGUGAGGCCCCCUUCUAAGUUCCUUGUUGCUUGACAUGUGGUAUGCACUCUCUUAUUAUCAUCAUUAUUAUUAUUCCCUGGUCAUGUCUGGUCCUUUCCUGAUCCCCCUUCACAACUCCUUGCCCCAGGGUGGCUACAACCUCCGCGCCCUGGCUGAAGGCGUCAGUGCUUCG
This 688-nucleotide small RNA is filed under the name Pan troglodytes (chimpanzee). RNAcentral describes it as "retained intron". The record is from RNAcentral. Lineage: Eukaryota; Metazoa; Chordata; Mammalia; Primates; Hominidae.